Gallus gallus (chicken) is the source of this 9157-nucleotide long non-coding RNA. RefSeq lists it as uncharacterized. The record is from RefSeq and is a predicted model, not a curated record. NCBI's taxonomy places the organism in Eukaryota, Metazoa, Chordata, Aves, Galliformes, Phasianidae. The transcript is spliced from 2 exons.
GGGAGCCGUGCGGGUCGCCGUAGGGGUGAAGCGGGCGGCUGGGAUUGCCCGUUCGUGCACGAUGUGCCCCCCGUCGGGCAGCAGGGCUCGAGGGCGAAGCCUCGUGAGGUGACAACAGCCAUCCUGCAGGAACCCUCUGCCCCAGGGACCUGCCCGCUGUUUGCUAAGCACAGCGUGUCCUUAACGGCACCCUCUGUCCACACUGUUCCCCCGGUCAGAUCCCUGAAAUAGCAGCAGAGUUCCUCAGUCCAUCUGGUACCCAAACCCCGAUGCCUCCAAGGGAUGGAGCCCAGCUCAGCUACCUCCACCUCCUCUGUCGACCAUACGCCCCAACCCAGAUCCCUCCACAUCACAGCCCUUCUGCCCAUCCAGAACCUUCACUCCCAUCCUUAAGUAGAAGCAAGGCCAUGUUCCUACCGUGUACCCACCGCAGACCCCGCAGGCAGAAGCACAGACCCUCUGUCCAUCCAGCACUCCCACCCAGAUUCCUUCAAGCAGUGAAGCAGCUCCUCUGUCCAUGCAUAACCCUCAUGCAGAUCCCCGAAGGGGUGAUACAGAUCCUCUGUACACCCUGUACUCACACUCACACCCUUCAACUGUCAGCUGUCCCCCUGUCCCGUGUCCCUGAAGCAGAGGCACAGCUUCUCUGUCCCCUCAGAACCCACAUCCAGAUCCCUGAGGUAGCAGCACAGCCCCUCUGUCCACCAUGAACCCACAAAGAUCCCUUCUAUAGUAACACAGCUCCACCCAGCAUCCCCACUCAGAUCCCCCAGGUAGCAGCAUGGACCACUGUCCAUCAUGUAACCCUCAAAUAGCACUACAGCCUUUCUGUCCCUCCUGUACCCCCACUUAGAUCCCUUAAGUAGCAGCACAGAUGGCCUUUAAAGGUCUCUUCAAUUAAUCAUUCUCCAGCCAGAGGAAAACAGAUGCAAAACGAGACACAACACAGCAGAAACCACACUGUAUCCAAAUUCCACACUGCAAGGUUUGGGCAACGUGUCCCAGGGAUCAUACAGCCUCAUGUUAAGCAGUGCUGCCAGGGAUGAGAAGUCAGAAGCAAAGAUCUGAGUUUUCAGGAUGCUCUAAUGCAGAUCUAAAAGAGAGCUUUCGGCACCAAAAUCUGCAUUCCUAACCCAGUUUUACCCCAACAUUUUCCUCUUCUUGGGAAGAUGACUCUAACGACACUAAUUUCUAGGUUUCCUACAUUCAACAUCAAAGACACCAAUCUCAUCCUUCUUGAGGAAGUUCUUCCCUGCUCUGUGUUACACAUGAUAGUCCAUACCACCAAGCAUAUACCCCUCAAAAAGCCAGAGUCUGAACAGGUCCUCCUUUAAAUCAACUGCCUCCAGCCCUGAAACUGACUUUUUCCAUACCUGGACACCUCCCACCUCUCUGGUUUGGUGUAACAGAAGCUGCAUGCUGAUUCACAGCGCCGCAGGGAGAUGCGUGCUGGGUUACCUUUGUUUGCCCUUGCUCUGAAAUGCCUCCUGCAGAGAGCAAGCUUCCUGUCCCUUUUGCAGGUGUCUCCCUGGGGAAAAGGGAUGAUGUCUGCUCUCUGAUCCUGCUGUUUUCUCUCUGGGUAAAAAACUUAACUUCUGUGCUCCUACAGAAAUGCUUCUGCCACUGCUUUCCUGGCUCCCUCGUCAGCCACCAGAAUCCCAUUUGCUUGCUGAGCACCACAGGGCAGGAACUAUUUCCAGAUUUAAGGUAUCCCCCUUCAAAAGGUGGCUUUGUUAGUCAGCCUGCUGAAACUACCUGGCUGGCUGAUGUCAGGAGCUGCUCUGAGCUCUCUCCUGAUGCCCAGCCCUUCCCAGCACUCCAGUUUUACAGCCUUUCCCUCCCUGGCUGACUGCAAGUUCUCCAAUCUGAUUUAAUACUCCACUAAAGCAGCACAGGUACAAAGCAGCUACUCUGAGCUGACUACUGCUCUUUGUUUCUGCAAAUUCAUCCUCCUCUUCUGCAUAUCAAUUAAUAUCCUCCAGGCAGGUGCCAAGAGAAUGCUGUGCUCUGGGAUGUGGCUAAUGAGGGCAGUCUCACUCUUUGAGACCUAAGGUGUCUCUUGCAAAGAUCCACAGCUCUUGGUUUCACGCAGAGCUGCAAAUGUUCUUCCUGUCAUUCAAGCCACUGACGUUUUGCAAACUAAUUCAUUAGCCCAGUUGGCUCUUUGAAAAAAGGAGAUACAAUCAUUGCUGGGAAAACAAGAAAGCAAUCCAUGUGCUGAAUAUAAAAUAUUACGUAGCUGGAAGGCAGUCAGUUCAGAGCCCUGAAUGAUUGGAUUCCCUUUUCUUUGCUGCCGAAGCACAGCGAUUUACUUAGUGGCUGUGUUGCAAUAAUGGCUAAGUUGCCACAGUAAGAUGAAGGCCUGCUCCUUCUGACCACUGUACAGACCCAAAACAUCAAAGCACCAUUCUCAAUAAGCAUAUGCCAUGUGCUUUUGCACUAGCAGAUGCGCCACGUGUCUCUCUGGUCUGACUGAAGGAUGCUGAACUCAGCAAGUCCAUCUCCACUAUUAAGAAAGAUGUAAUUAAAGCAGAAAGAUCAAGCAAAUUACUCACUUGCAAUGGUAGCAGUCAGCAACAAACAAAGCCUCCAUUUCUGCCCACUUAUAGCAGUUCAUUCAAUAAAGGCUGUCACCUCUUCCACCUAGCCUCCUCUUUUUGUAUCUGUAUGGCCACAACAGCAGCAUGAGAGCAGAAAGUUGAGGUUUAAAAUACCUUUAGGAAGAAGGAGAUUACUUACUUUAGGUACAACCGAAACUUUGAGAAACAAGUCUGUCUUUGUUAUAAUUGUACACGAGUUCCAAGAGCUAAACCACAGCGAGCUCUACCCCCAGGAGCGUCCCAGAGGAGACAGGGAUUAGCUGCUGGAGCAGCAAAUACCAUCUGACCAAACAGAAUACUUUCAUAUCAGCUCCCAGCCCUGGAAAUGCCAUGCAGGGAAAAGAGGAAAAGGUAGCUGCUUACACAAGGAGUGAAGGCAGGCUGCCUGCAGGGGAAACGUCGUCUGGUGGAGGCAGUUCCCAGUAAUUCUAGCUCCACAAAGCAGCACCAUCCAUCCACAUAGCCACACCAGCAAAGGGCUAGAUUCGGAGUCAGUGACAAAGGGUAUUCCUUGCUGCAGUGUCUCAAGGAUCCUGUUCGCAGUGUGACUCUCAAAUUGAAAUCUCACCAACAGUACCCUCCCACCCAGAUUCCUGCCAGACAACCCUGAAACCACCCCACGUAUGUCUGCAGCUAAAACUUCCAAUCCGGUCUGGCAACUUAGACAGCGAUACAAAAGAUUGGGAGAGAGAUAAAACUCACAGGGUGUCCUGUUACUUUGCAUUCCAAUGGGUAAAUAAAAGGCUGAUUCAGUGGGAGGAGAGGAAAACGUCAUCCAGAAGCACUGUGGUUUCCAGCUGAACCGGCAGCCCCUGGCUCCAGCAAAGGAGUGUGAUCUCCUGGUGAACAUUGGGUACUGUACAACCGAUUUCCACAAAGGACAGCUCUUCCUGUAAGUUGUCUCACCAUGAUUCAGUCUCUCCAUCUGUAAUGCAAGGAGAGUAAUUACUGACUUUGGAGAAUGGGACCUGUAAGAGCGCAGCAAGUUGCCCUCAGUUGGCCACAUGAUGCCACGAAGGCCAAGCUGAGAUGCAGAACUACUUUUCAGACAGCUUUUCAGGGACUUCUGUUUAAUCCGGAUGGGAACAUACCCUUUGGUCUCUAAUGCUUCUUUCAGAAGCUGCAAACUGAGAGUCCUGCUUCCAAAACAUAACUUUGGCAGAGAUCAGAAGUAGCUUUGCCCCUCAUAUCAGUAAUACCAGUCACUUCCACCUGCUUUAGCACUUAGCCAGAAAAGGCUCAUUACAGAGCCUUCCUGAGUUCAUGAUAGCUGGCACAAGAGACCAGCUCCAUCCUGUGGAAGGUACAGGCAUGAGCAGCAAGCAUAGUAUGUGACAGGAUGCAACCAGCAUGCAGUAGGAAAGCCCACCCGCAGCUCUCCAGCACACCACAGACAAUUCUGAGACAUACUUUCAAAAUUAAGGAGGGUCAUUUCUUGUUUACCAGCCACCUGACAGCUGUGGGACAUAGCAUGCAAAUGGCUAAGAAACACACCAUAGGAUGUAAGCUUGCUGCCAGGACUCUACAAUUUGCUAGGCCUUUCUUGAGGACUUCCAUGGCUUGAGAAAGCAGAACCUCUUUUGGUGAGCUCUGAAUCAGUAACAGCAGUGUUUGCCAAGCUGUAAGUGUAAUAGAGUGGAUGGGCUUGAAUGCCAGGUUUCUGCCACUGUGCAUUUUGAAAUGCAGCUGUGUGCUUGGGCACACCCAAGAUUCAAAGUCAGUUAAGGUCCUGUCUGCCUGACAAUCUGCAAAUGAGUAAGAACCGAGAGAGAUGCCGACAAUGCAUUGGAAUCACCUAUCCCUCUUUGCUUUACUACAAACAAGUAUGCCUAACCCGUGCUCACCUGCCUUGCCUCCUUACUUCCUACGGAAAACAAAAGAUCAGACUUGGUGUGGAAUUACCUCCACUGUUUAUAAUGAAAAGAAAAAAAAAAAAAGGCACAACUUUGAUUUUUCUUUGAUUCCUCUCAUUUCCCACCCUUUGCUGAUAAGAGAUGUGCCAUACAGCAGGGCUUUUAUUUUGCAAGUCCUGCUCCUGCUUUCAAACAUACCGACUGAUGUUCUUUCAGUCAUCCCUCUAGUGGGGUAUGGUGAGACUGCAUGUAAUAUCAACAAGCCCACCCCUGAAGCAGGAAAUCAAGCAUGAACUCACCCAGAGUUCAGUCUGCCAAAGGUGAGAAGUAAUACAUACUCUCCCAAGAUGCUGCUUGUACUCUCCAGGAUGAGGCAUCAUGCUGGAUGAAACACCUUGCUGGUUAGAUCAGGCUUGCAGACCUGUUCUAAUCCAUUCUCCACUUCAAAAGAUGACUAUGCACAUUUGUCUCUCUCCAUUCCUCCCAGGACAAUCUGUUCUAGCAGUAAGGUGACCUUCCUUUCUACUUAGUGAAGCAGGAGCAGAACCACAACAAGGAUAUCGAUGUGGGAAUACUGGGAAGAACACGUUCCUUUCCAAAAACAGAAGCUAAUCCUUUAAUUUAGGGACCAGCAGCCUUUGGCAUGGAAGAACAAGAAAGCUGCAGUAGGAAGCAGCUCUCCAAGCUCAGCAGGAACUGGAAAUGAGAUGGGGUCUUGGAAACCCACUGAGCAGCAGCAGCAGCUCUCCUCUAACACACACAAACCAUUUCUACACUAUAGAAGAUAAAAAACAUCUUGUUAUAAGAGGUAAGGACAGCGAAGGAAGUGCCUCUGUACCUUAUCCUGCUGCUUUCACAUCACAUGAUAAAUCUCCUGGGUGGCAUCUUUAUUGUCACUUGUCUGAGCCCCAGCAUAAGGCAGCUCUGCAGGAUCCACAGGGAAGACCUGACUGCAAAAGUGUUGUGCAGAUCUUGCUGUAAAGGAAAACACAUAGUGCUGAGAGUGCCUAGCAUUUGCAGCAGCAUUCACAAUAGGAGGCAGCAGUGCCAAGUACAGUGGUGGAAACAGCAGAUUCAUAAACACAAGAGCUGAAAUAUGACUUUCCUACAAGCAGACUGGGUCUCUUUGGUUUCUCUGUUGGGCACUGGUUACUUCUGGUAUUUGCUUCAGGCUUUCUGGACUUGUGCUCUCCGAACAAAGUAGUAUCCUUAGCUACUUUUCCAUGAAAAACUAUACUGACAAAUAGAGAAUCAGUAGGAUUAUGGUGCCAUGAUACAGCAUACCUUUAAAUGCAAUUGCACAGGAGAAGCAUACCCUUUGUACCUGUAGCAAGAACACAGGAAAAUCUCAGAGAAAAACCUACAAAGAAGCAAGCAGCACUUGUCAUCAGCAGUUGAUUCAUGUAGUAACAAACAAGGAUAUACUGUGGUACAAAGAACAUCACCUAUAACUUUCUCCUGGUCUGGCUCUGGAGUGGGCACAAAACCUCCAGAUAGAGGCACCUCAUCCAGAACGUUCUAUUGAACAAGAGGGCUUCCAACUUGGCUGGGCUGAAGUUGUAGUUUGUCCCCUUCUAUAAUGACUGGGACUUUUUACUACGUUUUUGCUUUCAAAAGUAGGCAUUCCCACUGGAAGUUCUGACAUCCAGAGCCCUGCCAGCUUGUUUCUGAAAAGCUACAAUACCUCCCCAAUGGCUUUUGGAAGUUAACUGAGACUGUACUGAGUACCUGUAGCACAACUAGCACUUGGCUACCAAAGAACCACUUAUCUCAGCAUUUCCACCUAGGUCAUGCAGCCAAAAGGGUGACCACACCUGACUUAGGGAAUAAUGCACCUAUUGUGUAAGAGCAGAAGUAAUCCUCACCCACAGUUCUGUCUUGUUCUGUGCAUGACUUGGACUGCCAAAUUUGAGAUACCAACUCAUUUGUGUUUCUGUGAGACAGACCACUGGUUGGCACUGAGCUCUGUCCUACACAAGUCAGAAGAGUUCAGACUGCCCCUGCAGGGAGCCUGGUGCAGGCAGGGAACGCAGUGGAAAGCUGCAGCUGUUUGCUAUCAGCCUGAACCACACAGCACGAAGGAGAGAAGGAACUUUACUGUGGUGAACUGCUGACUGACAGGACUGGGGGUGAGGAUGCUCCUAGCAUGGAGGUGGCUCUGUGCAUCUCUGGUCAAGAUUUUGGGCUGUGUACUUUAUUCCUGUGGGACUCUGCUUGCAUCACUACAGUAAGGAAAACAGCUGGGUGAAGCUGAUGAACAUUGCUCCUUGCUGCCUGUAUUUACAGUUCUCUCCAUGGGCCCUGCUCUAGCAGGAGACAUGGAGGUUGCAGAAGCUAUUCAACAGUGUAUGCAGUGUUUCCAUCUGUCUCAUAAAUGCCAAAUAACUGCUGCUUCCCCAUGGACAAACAUCUUCCCGUUGCUGACAAUUCAUCCAGAAUGAUACAUCAAAGCAUUAAAGACACUUACCCAGUUUCAAACAAUGCCAGCAUCUUUUCAGGUGCUUGCUUCCAGGUCCUCGUUGGCUCUGUACACAUCAUCAGCACAGCAGUAUGACCAUCAGCAGGUCUGCCCCGUCCUGCAUUGGUGAUACCUCGUGCUGUAAGUGUGGAUGCAAAAGCAUCUGGUCCUGGGGCUAUUAGAGACCAGCACAGUUCUCCAUCAAAGAUCUUGGUUCUUGAAGGUGAGUUACUUUGCCCCACGUCUUACAAACUGGAGGACGGUGAGAGAAGGUAACUAAGCCCACUACAAGCUGGUCCCAUCCCCUCCCCCAUUAUGUACAAUACUAAAAUUGUUAAAAUAAAGGUUAGUGUGUUUAAACGGCCCGAGGCAGUUUGUGUAGGACUCAAUCCUUACAAACAACGAUUACAUGAUAUUCUCUCAGUGAAAAUAAAUACGUAUCCCACAGCUUUGAAGAAACAAUAAAGGCUCUUAAAUAACACUAGCGAGGAACUCACUGUGAUGAAAACAGGCUGUAGUUCCAUUUUUUUAAUUACAAAAGAUAAUGGUUGGGAUGCAUCAGAACGAAAGUCCUUUCAGUUUCAGGGCCUGCAGGACAAACAGCUGGAAAACAGAUACUGUCAGCACACUGCCUUCUCAUGGCCUUUUAUUUGUGCUCCCGUGCACAGCUCUGCAGUACUCACCUGGAAGAGUAUUUAGUCCCCAGUGCAAGUGGACAAAGGAGCAAACACGUGGAAAACAGCCUUGUUAAAACAUACCCUCAUCCAGCCCUAGCAUAUAUAAAGAAAAACUAACUUGAACCCCUCUCUGCCCUUAAGCUUAUUGCUAAGAGAUUAUACGUUACUUAUAAAACCAACUGCUCUUUACUUGCAGUAGCUGAAGGGUUAUUUUUCAACCAGAGUGGAAGCUGAACCAUGGAACAGGGUGUACUUUGCUCUUGAAAUUGGUGUACUAUUCCAUUCAGAAUGUAGCUCUUUAACGUAAGAAACCCACACAGUGACUGGUGCCCUUUCCCCAAAGAUCACAGGCUUUAAAAGCAACAAGAAUGGUCUUCAGUCAAGCAGUCAUGCACGUCAAGGUAGCUCAUGUGGACAAGCAGUUUAGCAAAGACAGUUAUGGAAGAAAGGAGAUGGUGAUGAUCUGAAGAGUCAGACUCCUGAAAGCCAGCAGCAACAACCUCAGAGACACACCGAACUCAUGCAAUUAGAUGCAUGGGUUUUUAGUUUUGUUAAACCUAAUACUGUCAAUGCCUUAUGUCCAGAGACAAAUUCAAAUGGUUGCUUGCAAGAGGAUUCACAGAAAUUAAAGGUGCUUCGCACUGUAAUCAUCCUUCAGCACUUGAUUGCAAGUUUUGACACUGAAGAACAUUACAAACAGAACUAACAGAACACAAUCAUCUUGAUUAUGCUUUGAAUUUAGAGGCUCUUUCAUGUAAGCAAUAGAAGAAAGUUGUCAUCUCUUCCACUUCUCAUUUUUAACUUCGCAACUAAAAGGAUGUGUAAAAGGACUUAAGAACAUCUUCAUACACCUCCCAGACCACAGCCCUCUGGCUGUCCACCUGUUUGGCAGACUCAAUACAAGAGGUACACAAAUUGACAAAGUAGGAAAGGUACUGAGAAAACUGUUAUCACUCCCAGUUCUGUUCCUGUGGCAUAUUCAAGAGCUUGCUUUGUGUGUUGUUGUGUCCUGCUUAUUCAAUACUUGCAGCUAGCCAGUUUUUUUUAUUUAAACACCCAUUUCCUCCAACUCACACAGCAGGUUAGCUGCUGUACAGAAAGACUGACAUACCCGACCUGAAGCUCAGCAGAACAGUUUGCUCUGCUCACGUGCAGCCAGUUUGAACAGUAACACACAGCUUCAGUUGAGGCUUCUGCCAUGAAGUUCUACUAACACAGGAAAGAUAAGACUUGGUUCUGUAAAUACGUUAUAUUCAAUAGUAUGUAACUCAGAGCAAUGCACUUUUAAAAAAAGACAAGAGAAACCACGUUAGAAGGAACCAUCUCACAAAGGAAGAUGGACAAUCUAUUAGCCCUUGGCAAGCUAAACAAUCAUGUACACAAAACAACAAGCUGUACAAAACUGAAAGGAGAUGGCAAAGGGAUUUGUAAGGCUUUCUUCUCCUAGCUCAACACUCCUUAUGAUCUUAUUCUGGAAAAGCUUCAGGGUCACAUCAGGACAGCAAGGAACUCUUCUCCAGUGUGUGCAAAACUCAAAUUUAUAAAGGGAUAAAAUUCUAAAGAUAAAAA